Molecule: non-coding RNA, 45 nt
Organism: Schistosoma curassoni
Lineage: Eukaryota; Metazoa; Platyhelminthes; Trematoda; Strigeidida; Schistosomatidae
Source: Rfam
AUCCAGUUGAUGGGUCCCGAAUAGGACAAAACGCGUGUUCUGGAU